Molecule: ribosomal RNA, 558 nt
Filed under: Pseudomonas putida
Lineage: Bacteria; Pseudomonadati; Pseudomonadota; Gammaproteobacteria; Pseudomonadales; Pseudomonadaceae
Description: bacterial SSU rRNA
Rfam family: Bacterial small subunit ribosomal RNA
Source: RNAcentral
AGCCUGUAUCCUUGAUUCAGCGGCGGACGGGUGAGUAAAGCCUAGGAAUCUGCCUGGUAGUGGGGGACAACGUUUCGAAAGGAACGCUAAUACCGCAUACGUCCUACGGGAGAAAGCAGGGGACCUUCGGGCCUUGCGCUAUCAGAUGAGCCUAGGUCGGAUUAGCUAGUUGGUGGGGUAAUGGCUCACCAAGGCGACGAUCCGUAACUGGUCUGAGAGGAUGAUCAGUCACACUGGAACUGAGACACGGUCCAGACUCCUACGGGAGGCAGCAGUGGGGAAUAUUGGACAAUGGGCGAAAGCCUGAUCCAGCCAUGCCGCGUGUGUGAAGAAGGUCUUCGGAUUGUAAAGCACUUUAAGUUGGGAGGAAGGGCAGUAAGCUAAUACCUUGCUGUUUUGACGUUACCGACAGAAUAAGCACCGGCUAACUCUGUGCCAGCAGCCGCGGUAAUACAGAGGGUGCAAGCGUUAAUCGGAAUUACUGGGCGUAAAGCGCGCGUAGGUGGUUUGUUAAGUUGGAUGUGAAAGCCCCGGGCUCAACCUGGGAACUGCAUCCAA